GCAGGUAUGGUGGAAUAGGCAGACACAAGAGACUUAAAAUCUCUCGGGGGCGACUCCGUGCCGGUUCAAGUCCGGCUACCUGCA
RNAcentral lists this transfer RNA (84 nucleotides) under Lachnospiraceae bacterium. RNAcentral's name for it is "tRNA-Leu". It matches the Rfam family "tRNA". From Rfam's summary of the family: Transfer RNA (tRNA) molecules are approximately 80 nucleotides in length. Their secondary structure includes four short double-helical elements and three loops (D, anti-codon, and T loops). The record is from RNAcentral. Lineage: Bacteria; Bacillati; Bacillota; Clostridia; Lachnospirales; Lachnospiraceae.